CAGCAGCCGCGGUAAUACAUAGGGGGCGAGCGUUAUCCGGAUUUAUUGGGCGUAAAGAGUGCGUAGGCGGUUUGUAAGGUCAGUCGUAAAAGAUCAGGGCUUAACCCCGUAGGGCGAUUGAAACCGGCAGACUUGAAUAUGGUAGAGGCUAGUGGAAUUCCAUGUGUAGCGGUGGAAUGCGUAGAUAUAUGGAGGAACACCAAUGGCGAAGGCAGCUAGCUGGGCCAGAAUUGACGCUGAGGAACGAAAGCCGGGGUAGCAAAUGGGAUUAGAUACCCCAGUAGUCCCGGCCGUAAACGAUGGAUACUAGGUGUUGCGGGUAUCGACCCCUGCAGUGCCAUAGCUAACGCGAUAAGUAUCCCGCCUGGGGAGUACGCACGCAAGGUUGAAACUCAAAGGAAUUGACGG
RNAcentral lists this ribosomal RNA (408 nucleotides) under uncultured bacterium. RNAcentral describes it as "bacterial SSU rRNA". It matches the Rfam family "Bacterial small subunit ribosomal RNA", at positions 509 to 916 of the family's 1533-position model. The record is from RNAcentral.